This 253-nucleotide ribosomal RNA is filed under the name uncultured bacterium. Its description in RNAcentral is "partial 16S ribosomal RNA". It matches the Rfam family "Bacterial small subunit ribosomal RNA", at positions 524 to 776 of the family's 1533-position model. The record is from RNAcentral.
CACGGAGGGUGCAAACGUUGCUCGGAAUCAUUGGGCGUAAAGCGUGCGCAGGCGGUUCGUUGUGUCGGCGGUGAAAGCCCCGGGCUUAACCUGGGAAUGGCCGUUGAAACUGGCGAACUGGAGUGUGGCAGAGGGGGGUGGAAUUCCGCGUGUAGCAGUGAAAUGCGUAGAGAUGCGGAGGAACACCGAUGGCGAAGGCAGCCCCCUGGGCUAACACUGACGCUCAGGCACGAAAGCGUGGGGAGCAAACAGG